AGCACCUUCCAUGCUGGGCAGCUCCGACAGGUGCGGGACCAGCAGAAUCUGCCCUUCGGUGUGACCCCAGCCUCACCCUCUGGCCAUAGCCAGGGCCGGCGGGGGGCCUCUGGCAGCAUCUUCAGCAAGUUCACCUCCAAGUUUGUCCGCAGGUGAGAGGGGCUGGGAGCAGACCUUCCCACUUGUGUGGUGGUUGGGGUGGGGAUAACAGAGCUGGGAUUGUGGCCUUAGCAGGUCUGGAAAAGAGGGUUGUCGUCAACAUCUCAGGCACCUAGACUCAUCCUCUUAGGCCUUUCCCCAGCUCUUCUCAGGCACCCCUCAUUCGAUGGCCCCAAGCAGAUGGGCGAUGCCGCCUCCUCUCUAGGGGAGUGUGAACUCAGAUGCUAAAAUAAAAGCCCCCUCUUCCCUCCUGGGUUCCCAUGGAAACUUAUAUUUGGUGACGCAGCUGCAAAGUCAUGAGGCGUGAGCCAGGCUGGGUUGACAAGAUUUUCCUAGUCUAUUCUUGCCCCCUUUGACCUCCUUCCCCUGUUUGCCCUCCCACAGGUAGAUAAUGUCUGGCUCUAACUAUGUUCUUCUGCCCCAGGGCUUCCUAGGGCAAAGCCCUCAAAUGAAAUGGCUGCUGAGGGCUGCAGUGGCCUCUCCUGCAGCUCCAGGGUUCCAGUGCCUUCCUGGCCUAGACCCAGGUGGGAAAUCUCUUCAUGAGUUUCUCAUGCCUGAGCCCUCAUCAUAGAGAGAGAUGAGUGGCUUAAGGUGGCUUGGGAUCAGCCGUGGGAUCUCCUGGGUACUCUGUCCCCAGAGCCAAGUGGGACCUUUUGAGAGCAAACCUACCCACCCCUACUGCUCAUCCCUUACACACCCAAGCCACCAGAUGCCAAUGAGGCUGCAGGGCGAGCAGACCUGAAGUCAGGACUCUGGUCUCGCUGAGCGGCUCUUCUAAAACUGGGGAGACCCUAGAACCUGGAAAGC
RNAcentral lists this long non-coding RNA (966 nucleotides) under Rattus norvegicus (Norway rat). RNAcentral describes it as "long non-coding RNA NONRATT003531". The record is from RNAcentral. Lineage: Eukaryota; Metazoa; Chordata; Mammalia; Rodentia; Muridae.